UACGAAGGGGGCUAGCGUUGCUCGGAAUCACUGGGCGUAAAGGGUGCGUAGGCGGGUCUUUAAGUCAGGGGUGAAAUCCUGGAGCUCAACUCCAGAACUGCCUUUGAUACUGAGGAUCUUGAGUUCGGGAGAGGUGAGUGGAACUGCGAGUGUAGAGGUGAAAUUCGUAGAUAUUCGCAAGAACACCAGCGGCGAAGGCGGCUCACUGGCCCGAUACUGACGCUGAGGCGCGAAAGCUAGGGGAGCAAACAGG
RNAcentral lists this ribosomal RNA (253 nucleotides) under uncultured bacterium. Its description in RNAcentral is "partial 16S ribosomal RNA". It matches the Rfam family "Bacterial small subunit ribosomal RNA", at positions 524 to 776 of the family's 1533-position model. The record is from RNAcentral.